GGGGGGCGGGCGGAUGGCGGCGGGCGGCUGGUGCGGGCGCCAGGCGGUGCGGGCCCUCCGGGCGGACAGCGGCAGCCGCUGGGGGCGGCGGGCGGCGCCCGAGCCCAGGGCGGUGGGUGGCACCUCCCGCGGCCUCUGCUCCGAGGGGGAGCGCGGCGUUUCCUACGAGGAGCUCAAAGAGUUGAAAAAAUCCAGCGUCGUCCACAUAGAUGUGCGGGAGAGGUGGGAGGUUGACAGAUACGGGAAGAUCCCAGCCUCCAUCAACAUACCACUGAACGAAUUAGUGGAAGCUCUGCAAAUGAACCCAACGGAUUUCAGGGAGCAGUACAAUCAAAAGAUGCCUGCCAAGUCAGACCAUGUGGUUUUCUCCUGCUUUGCAGGAUCAAGAAGUAAACAAGCACUGAAUUUUGCCACAUCCUUGGGUUUCAGCAGGUGAUGCCAUAUGCUGCAGGACCACGCUGAUGCUGAAGGGUUCUUCAAGCUCUUUUGUCUCCCUUGCCGAGAUGUUGCUUGUACAGCUUCAUAAACGCUAGUUCUGACGUGCAGGAUGACGAUUGGAAAGAGUUCAGCAUUAUCCUGGUGGCUUUGAGGAAUGGGCAAAACGUGAACUUCCAGAGAAAAAGUGAAGAUGACCGCCUCCAUCCCUGCCCUACCUUCAGAAUGCUUUGUAGAUUUUAGCACUCAGGCUACCUGCAUUCCACUUUCAGAAUACAGUCCUCUUCUGUUUUCUUGUGUAAAUGGGCAUUUACCUUUAAAUAGUAAUGCACAUUAAUGACUUGGUUAAAAUUAUAUUUAAGGACUAUGACAUGAACAGAUGUUAAAUUUGUUUGACCUUUAAUUUGUGCUAUGAUGGUGCUAGAAGUAUGUGAAAAGAAUUUUGUAUGAUCUGCUUUAUGACUGUUUAAACUAAUGAUGAUAGCACACAUAAAGUUAUCCUUUCCAAAUAA
This is an RNA transcript of Oxyura jamaicensis (ruddy duck), 947 nucleotides long. It is a transcript of the gene named thiosulfate sulfurtransferase/rhodanese-like domain-containing protein 3, with no coding region annotated. NCBI's taxonomy places the organism in Eukaryota, Metazoa, Chordata, Aves, Anseriformes, Anatidae. The record is from RefSeq and is a predicted model, not a curated record. The transcript is spliced from 5 exons.